Rattus norvegicus (Norway rat) is the source of this 5440-nucleotide non-coding RNA. Lineage: Eukaryota; Metazoa; Chordata; Mammalia; Rodentia; Muridae. The record is from RefSeq and is a predicted model, not a curated record.
AUAGGAAUUCUCCGUAUAGCACUGACUGUCUUGGAAGUCACUCUGUAUACCAGGCUGGCCUCGAACGCAAGACACCAACUUGCCUCUGGCUUCGGAGUGUUGGGACUAAAGGCGUGUGCGACCAAGGCUAGCUGGCAUUAAUUUCUAAUACCAUCUGACAGUCCAUCCUUUGAGUGAAAUGGUGUACCCCAUAGGUUCAAGUAUUUGAAAGGUUGAUGUCUGUCGGGUAGCGGUUCUGUGGUACCUUUAAGAAGGUGGAGCCUUGCUAGCGGAAGUCCCACCCAGUGGGUGGGGCUCCAGAGUGGUCAGCUGUUCCAGCAUAGCCGACCUGAUUCGCCGUGACACCUCAAGUGGUAAGUGUAAGAAGACCUUUCAAAAUCGCUUUUAGUCAGAAAUUUCGGUCAUCAAGUCCAGAAAAGAUGACAGUCGUCAAGCCUACCCAAAUUGAAGCGUCUGGUAUAGUAUUUUUGAUUUUUUUAGUUUCUCGGCUCAGCUAAGCUUACUUAGAAGAUUUAAUCAUUCAUUUCUGGACAGGGUUUCUCUGGCUGUCCUGGAUGUCGAUCUGUUGACCAGGCUGGCCCGGACCUCAGAUGCAAUCCACCUUUAAGUACAAGGUUCUUAUGCUUUUGUCCCUCACCUAUGUGGUGGUGAUGGAAUCCAGGCCUUGGCAGCACAGGACAAUAGUUAGAGCAGCCUAGAGUGUUUUCAUAUUGGAUGCCCUGAUAGAUCCAGCCCUGCUUGGAACAUCUUGGGGCAGUGACCAUGUGGGAAAGCUUUCGUAGAGCUUAUCAUCUGGUCCUUUCUUUCCUGUCAGGGGGAUAGAGUGGGAUUCAUGCAGCCCUGUGAUUUUCUACUUUAUGGUGUUGGCUUUGCAGCUGAAGCUGCUGGAUCAAGUGAUGGGACCCCGAUACGUGUCGCACCAUUUUGCACCACUAGGGGAUGCUAGCAGGCCUUGUCUGUGGUUUAGGUUGACAAUUCUGGGCGGCUAGCAGCUUUGACUUCCAGAUCCCGGAAGGUGGAGUCCCAGUGAGUCUGGGCCUCAGGCAAAGCCCUCAGGGUGAUGCUAGGGUAUCUGGGAGUCAUCUGUACUUUGUUUGUUUGUUUGUUUGGUUUUUUUUUUUGGUUCUUUUUUUCCGGAGCUGGGGACCGAACCCAGGGCCUUGUGCUUCCUAGGCAAGUGCUCUACCACUGAGCUAAAUCCCCAACCCCGUCAUCUGUACUUUGAAUAACUAGAAUCUGGGAAGCAUGGGUAGGAACCACUGACCAAGGGUAUUGAGGACAAAGUAGACCUGGCCAAGUUGAUUUUGUCAAGUGUGUCCUGUUUUAGAUGUGGGCUGUGUGGUGUGUGUGUGAGGCACCAAAUUAUCUCGUAUUUGGCUGUGAUAACGUAGACAGUCAGGUUAAAAUAUUUGCCACAACUCUCAGAUUGGAGGAGGAAAUCUCCAGACUAGGACAGAUCUUCAACCUCAUGUCUCGCUGUCUCCUUCAAAUCCUGCGGAUCACGAUUUAAAGCUCUCAGCUACCCUUCUAGCACCAUGCCUGUCUGCCUGCCUGCAUGCUUCCCCUCAGGAUGCUAAUGGACUAACCCUCUGAAACUAAAAGCAAGCACCCAGUUGUAGCAGUAAAUAAUUAAAAUGGAUGCAGGGGUGGGUGGGGCACCAGGCACCAGCCACACUGCCUCCUGCUCGUCUCUGUCCCCAGCGAUCUCUCCACCUCCAUGGCUAGCCCCAUGUUGGCACUGGCUCCUCUCUGGCCCCAGCAGCAGCUGCCAUCCUGGGACUGUGCUGUGAACCCUGCUCACAAUCCCAGCAUCUGUCCCUGUGGCUACAGUCACAACUCCCAGUAGCCAGUUAAAAUCAAAACCCAAAGCUUGUAGUUUAGCAGUCAGAUUCAUAUCAGCAAAUUCUCAGUCCACAAAACGUCCCCACAAUAAACUCACAAGCAAUUGAUAUUGAUGUAAACUACCUGCCUAGAUAAGACAAAUUGUCCUAUAUAAAUCUGUCCCUUAUGAAAUAUUCAUAGCUACCUUUGCCUGGUUAAAGCCACGCAGAUCUGGGUCGUCCUUCUCUGCCUUUUUCUUGGUUCUUCUACCUCCUCAUCUCUCCUGCCUUACAAAACCUCUGCCCCCGCCUUUCUUUUUUCACUGCCCAAUCACAGGUCUUGCCUUAUCUUGUACCUGCCCUCACCUGCAUAUAGACAUCAGUUCUACCCAGUGAGUGCUUUCUUUCCUUUAUAAGAGAGAGGGAGAGCGAGGGAGGGAGGGAGGGAGGAAGAGACUGGAGAGACUGACUUAGAUUGCACAGGAAUGGAAGUCUGUUCAGUUGGAGGCUGGCAGGUUGCAGAGACAGAGGCAGGGUGAGGGGACACCAGGACACUGAUUGGCAAUGAGUGGGAGGGAAAGCUCUCAACCCUGUGUGAGAGAGACAGCUGUUUCCUGUUGGUUUUUUUUUCCCUUUUGGUACUAAUUAGAUUCCCCAAAGAUGGUUACAUUAUUAAAUUACAUCAUGCAAAUCAUAACCUGUCUCCUGCUCUACACUUGACUGCCAUGUUUGCUUAAUGGGAAUUAGGGAAACAGAUUACUUAAUUCCUGGGAAACUUGGGUUGAUAAGAAGGCUCAGUGGAUAAAGGCAAGUGUCACCAAACUUGAUCGUGAGUUCAAGCUCUUGGACCCACCACAUUCUGGGUAAUAACCCACCCUAUAAUUGGUUAUCUGGCCUUACAAGUGCAACUGUGUGUCAAAUUCCUAAGAGAUAUAACACAGUUUUAAAUACUGAUAAAGACAUCUUUAGAGAUGUCAUCUAUAUGAAUAUGUCAGUUGUACAAAAUAAAACAGUUAUUGAAGUUAGCUUGACAAUUUAGUCCUUUAAAUAAUAAACAUAACUUCUCAGAUUAACCACCUUAGUGUCGCUUCAGUGGCAGUAAAUACAUUCAUAUCUUUGUGUGACCAUCCCUACCAUCUGUCUGCCCAACUUCUUCACCUUGUAAAACUGAAACUCUGUACCCAGUUAACAGAAACUUCUCAUUUCAACCUUGGCAACCAGCACCUGGCAGCAUCUGGUGAUCCUUUUGUGUGAGCGUGUGAGCCUCCCAACUGGCUGGUGUGCGCCACAGUGCUACAGUGGCCCACUGUGGCCGGCAACUCCCCUUUGUUAAGACUGAGUAAUCACAACCUCGGCCACCCACGCGCUUCUUUUUUAAAUGACUAACUUUAGCCUUUGCCUUCUUGUCUCUCCGUGUACCAUGUGUGUGCAGUGCCUGUGGAAAAAACAGCUAGAAAUCCUCUAAGAGAAAUAUACACCUUUUGUUCCCCUUAAGUAUUUAAGCAAACCUUUGUUAAACAUUUACUUCUCUUUUUGAGUUUGUAUGUUUGUCCGUGAACCAUGUGUGCGUCCGGUCCUGGAGUUACAGAGGCUUGUAAGCUGCCAUGUAGGCACUAAGAACCCACCCAGGUCCUCUAAGCAUAAUCAGCGCUCUUACCUGCUGAGCCGUCUCUCCAGCCCCUUACUUGGUUGUUUGAAACAGGGUCCCUCUCAGAUCAGCUCUGAUUAGACUAGAACUUGCCUUGUAAACCAGGCCAGCUGUGAACUCACUGAGAUCUGCCUGCUUCUGUCUCCUGAGUGCUGGGAUUAAAGUCGCGUGUCACCAUGCCUGGCUUAAUGCAGGUUUUCUAUUUUAAGUCUCACCAAAACUUGUUGCCAUCAACCUUGUGAACAUGAGUUGGACCCCGUAGCACACUAUCAAAGAUAGGAGAGAUGGGUCAGUGGUGAGCACCGGCUGCUCCUCCAGAGGAUUUGGGUUGCAAUCCUAGCGCUCACAUAGUGGCUCACAGCUGUCUGUAACAUCUCCCGGGCAUCCGAUGCCCCCUUCCGUAUUUUCCAGGCAUCACAUGUUACACAGACAUUCAUGCAGGCAAAACACCCAUACACAUGAAGUAACACAAUAAUAAAAAUGAAAAAAAAAAAGAUAAGAAUUCAAAGAUGUUCACUGAGGCUGCAGAGAAGCCUCAGCUGGUAAAGGGCGUGUUGCCAUUGCCAAACUAGAGGAGUUAAGUUUGAUCCCCAGACCACAUGGGAGAACUGACUCCUACAAGCUGUCCUGUGACCCCAACAUGCGCCUGCACACGCAUACACACACACACACACACACACACACACACACACACACACACACACACACAGACAAUAUAAGCACAUAUAGUAAGUAAAGAUUUUUAUUAGUUUCUCCUUUAUCUUUGGCCUGUGUGCAUACCAUAUGCCACCCCUGCAUACAUACCGUAUAUACAUAAGUGCUUGACUCCCCUCAUCCCUCUGCCAAGUUGAGGGUGUGGUCAGAGCAGUUUGAUAUCCUGCCCUUUUUUUUUUUUGUUCUUUUUUUUGGUUCUUUUUUUUCGGGGCUGGGGACCGAACCCAGGGCCUUGCGCUUCCUAGGCAAGCGCUCUACCGCUGAGCUAAAUCCCCAACCCCUGAUAUCCCGCCUUUUUAAAGGUCUUGGCAUAGUUUCUUUCUUUGUUUUGUUUUAUUUGUUUGUUUGUUUCUUAAACAUUUUUACUGAUUCUCUGGGAAUUUCACAUCAUAUACCCCUAUCAGACUCACUUCCCAGUCCUUCCUCGCCCCUCACCCUUGUGACCCCCUCCAAAGAAAAGUAAAAAUAAAAAUAAGAAAAAAUAAAAACUAAAAAAAUGACAAGGUCUCUAUGCUCCAUGGAGCCUGGUCAGACUCUCCGUAGUCUGCUCCUUAGGCCUGAGUCCUUCCUCUCCCACAGCCCACCAGGAGCCACCAACUGUGGAGAGCCAUACUUCAGCCCCCCCCCCCCCCAUCACACUUUUUAAGAGCUCUCUUUGGUGGCUUCCUGUCUUGGCUGUGAGUAAAGGUCUUGGAAUGGGCGUAUGGGUUUUCACAGAAGCCUUUUAAGUCCCCUGUUUCCUGUGCUCUGCACAGUUUCCUGAUGUGUCAGUUUCUGACAAGCUGGCUGUGUGGGCCACUGUGAUAAGCCUUAUCCUCACCACAAAUUCCAAUUAAGUCAUCCCCCCACCCACCCGCCCGUGACUAAGAGAUGCAAAGGGAGCAGCAAAGUCCCCUGAUGCUGUUCAGUGGGUGUUCAGCCCUUGCAGUGGGUUCUCCCUUGUAUCUCUCUUUCCACUCCGAUGAGCCCGUCCCUUGUGUUCCAUGGUGGUUUGAACAAGAAUGGCCUCUCUAAGCUCCUGUAUUUGAAAACUUGGUCUGAAGUCAGUGGAACUGUUUGAGAAGGAUUAGGGGAUGUGGCCUUGGAGGAGGUAUAUCACUGGGGACAGGCUUGGCCGUUUCAAGAGUCCACCCACUCCAUUCCCCUCUUGGCUCUGUCUGCCUUCUGCUUGUGGAUCAGGUGAAAAUUCUCAGCUACUGCUCAGGCACGAAGCCUGCCUACCUGCCUGCCUUCCUGCCUGAUGGCCAUGGACUCCCAA